AUUGAACGCUGGCGGCAUGCUUUACACAUGCAAGUCGAACGGCAGCGCGGGCUUCGGCCUGGCGGCGAGUGGCGAGCGGGUGAGUAAUACAUCGGAACGUGCCCAGUCGUGGGGGAUAGCUCGGCGACAGCCGGAUUAAUCCCGCAUACGACCUGAUGGUGAAAGCGGGGGAUCUUCGGACCUCGCGCUAUUGGAGCGGCCGAUGGCAGAUUAGCUAGUUGGUAGGGUAAAGGCCUACCAAGGCGACGAUCUGUAGCUGGUCUGAGAGGACGACCAGCCACACUGGGACUGAGACACGGCCCAGACUCCUACGGGAGGCAGCAGUGGGGAAUUUUGGACAAUGGGCGAAAGCCUGAUCCAGCAACGCCGCGUGUGUGAUGAAGGCCUUCGGGUUGUAAAGCACUUUUGGCGGGAACGAAAAGGACUGUGCCAAUACCACGGUUCGAUGACGGUACCCGCAGAAUAAGCACCGGCUAACUACGUG
This 484-nucleotide ribosomal RNA is filed under the name uncultured bacterium. Its description in RNAcentral is "partial 16S ribosomal RNA". It matches the Rfam family "Bacterial small subunit ribosomal RNA", at positions 29 to 507 of the family's 1533-position model. The record is from RNAcentral.